RNAcentral lists this ribosomal RNA (433 nucleotides) under uncultured bacterium. RNAcentral describes it as "partial 16S ribosomal RNA". It matches the Rfam family "Bacterial small subunit ribosomal RNA", at positions 29 to 507 of the family's 1533-position model. The record is from RNAcentral.
AACGAACGCUGGCGGCAUGCCUAACACAUGCAAGUCGAACGAGACCUUCGGGUCUAGUGGCGCACGGGUGCGUAACGCGUGGGAACCUGCCCUUAGGUUCGGAAUAACUCCCCGAAAGGGGUGCUAAUACCGGAUAAUGUCUUCGGACCAAAGAUUUAUCGCCUUUGGAUGGGCCCGCGUUGGAUUAGCUAGUUGGUAGGGUAAAAGCCUACCAAGGCGACGAUCCAUAGCUGGUCUGAGAGGAUGAUCAGCCACACUGGGACUGAGACACGGCCCAGACUCCUACGGGAGGCAGCAAUGGGGAAUAUUGGACAAUGGGCGAAAGCCUGAUCCAGCAAUGCCGCGUGAGUGAUGAAGGCCUUAGGGUUGUAAAGCUCUUUUACCCGGGAUGAUAAUGACAGUACCGGGAGAAUAAGCCCCGGCUAACUCCGUG